AAAUUCACAGAGACUCCAGAAUGAAAAACAAACCCUAAGGGAAAGCAAUGCACCAGCAGAUGACAGCGGCUCACUUCAAGAGCAGGUGAAGCAAGUUGGGAUAAUGUUGAAGAUGUUUGCUCACACUGGGCAAUCAGGUGCAGACGUCUUGGAGAGUUUGGGCGAUGUUGUGCGCAGCAUGGACAACAAAAUGGACUCUAUGCUGCAUCAUUUUGAGUUCCCCUUCGAGGAAACUCGCACUGCGUCAUCAUUAUGACACUUUGGGGAAUGCCCCAGCGUAGCGCGUCUGAAGCAUGAAUGAAAUCUGUCCGAUCCUGAUUGGUGCUGCGUCACGACGUAGUAAAUGACGGCAUAACCGGAAGAUACAAAGGGGACGCUGACACAAACAACA
Pimephales promelas (fathead minnow) is the source of this 391-nucleotide long non-coding RNA. RefSeq lists it as uncharacterized. NCBI's taxonomy places the organism in Eukaryota, Metazoa, Chordata, Actinopteri, Cypriniformes, Leuciscidae. The record is from RefSeq and is a predicted model, not a curated record.